GACGAACGCGGGCGGCGUGCCUAAUACAUGCAAGUCGAACGCACGAAGUUGAAGAGCUUGCUCUUUAACCAAGUGAGUGGCGGACGGGUGAGUAACACGUGGGUAACCUGCCCAUUAGAGGGGGAUAACAUUCGGAAACGGAUGCUAAUACCGCAUAGUUUCAGGGAUCGCAUGAUUCUUGAAGGAAAGGUGGCUUCGGCUACCACUAAUGGAUGGACCCGCGGCGUAUUAGCUAGUUGGUGAGGUAAUGGCUCACCAAGGCAAUGAUACGUAGCCGACCUGAGAGGGUGAUCGGCCACACUGGGACUGAGACACGGCCCAGACUCCUACGGGAGGCAGCAGUAGGGAAUCUUCCGCAAUGGACGAAAGUCUGACGGAGCAACGCCGCGUGAGUGAAGAAGGUUUUCGGAUCGUAAAACUCUGUUGUUAAAGAAGAACAAGGAUGAGAGUAACUGCUCAUCCCCUGACGGUAUUUAACCAGAAAGCCACGGCUAACUACGUGCCAGCAGCCGCGGUAAUACGUAGGUGGCAAGCGUUGUCCGGAUUUAUUGGGCGUAAAGCGAGCGCAGGCGGUUCUUUAAGUCUGAUGUGAAAGCCCCCGGCUCAACCGGGGAGGGUCAUUGGAAACUGGAGAACUUGAGUGCAGAAGAGGAGAGUGGAAUUCCACGUGUAGCGGUGAAAUGCGUAGAUAUGUGGAGGAACACCAGUGGCGAAGGCGACUCUCUGGUCUGUAACUGACGCUGAGGCUCGAAAGCGUGGGGAGCAAACAGG
Molecule: ribosomal RNA, 771 nt
Filed under: uncultured Vagococcus sp.
Lineage: Bacteria; Bacillati; Bacillota; Bacilli; Lactobacillales; Enterococcaceae
Description: bacterial SSU rRNA
Rfam family: Bacterial small subunit ribosomal RNA
Source: RNAcentral